AAAUUUAAAUAUAGUUUUUAUUAAAAUAUUUUAAACUUUCUUUAUAUUUUAUAUAAAUAGAUUUGUUAUGUAAUAGAAGAAAAAUUUAUUUUUUUUAUAAAAAAUAAAAUAGAAGUUUAAAAGAAUUGAUUUUUGGCUAAACUUGUGCCAGCCGCCGCGGUUAUACAAGUAAAUCUUUUUUUAAAAAAAUUAAAAUUAAUAAAAAUAUUUAAAUAUUUUAAAAAUUUAUAAAGGUGAAAUUUAUAAUUUUUAUAUUAAUUAGUUUGAUUUUAAAGAAAUUUAAUUUUUAAACUAGGAUUAGAUACCCUAUUAUUUUAAGCUGUAUGUUGGUAGUAAAUAAAAUUUAUGAAAUCAUAAAAUUUUGGCGGUAUUUUAAGCUUAUUAGAGGAAUUUGCUCUGUAAUGGAUAAAACGCCUAGAUCUUACUUAAUUUAGUAAUUAAAGUCAGUUUGUAUACCACUAUAUUUAAUUAUAUUGAGUAGUUAUAUUUAAGAUUUUUUUCAACAAAAAAUAUAUUAAGUCAAGGUGCAAUUAAUAAUUAUGAAUGAAGUGAAUUACAUUAAUUUUAAUGUUAUUAAAAUAUUGAAAAAAAGUUUUUAGGAUUUAAUAGUAAAAUAUUAAUAUAAUGAAUAUUUGAAUAGAGCUCUAAAAUAUGCACAUAUCGCCCGUCGCUCUCAGGAGUGAGAUAAGUCGUAACAAAGUAAAAAUACUGGAAAGUGUUUUU
This 723-nucleotide non-coding RNA is filed under the name Ixodes pavlovskyi. Lineage: Eukaryota; Metazoa; Arthropoda; Arachnida; Ixodida; Ixodidae. The record is from RNAcentral.